GGGCCCUAAAAGCAUGGAAACGUUGUACACUGCUAUGACCAAUAAGCAUACCAGUCAAUUUACUUCACAAAUAGUAAGGUAACUAGCUAACAGCCAUGGAAGAGAGUGAACGGAUAGCUGCUCCAACUGUCAAAGAAGGUAGAGUAGGCUAUUCUGGAUAGGGCAGGUACUGUUGUGUAGUUCCACUCCAUAGAAAGAAGUGAGGACAGAGAAUUGUAACAUAAUAUUCAGUGCAGUCUAAUUUUAGUAUAAUGAAGUCUGUUUUCUGCCCUCAGAUACAGAGCUGUGAAACCCUGUCUGCAGAUGAAGAGCCCCCCACGGGGGGCCAGCACAGACAACAACAAAAAAAUAAUGAAAUGUAUGCAUUCACUACUGUAAGUCGCUCUGGAUAAGAGCGUCUGCUAAAUGACAAAAAAAAAAAAAGAGCAAUGGUUCCCAGUCCUGUUCCUGGGGUCUCAAAGGGGUGCACAUUUUUAUUUUUGCCUUAGCGCUGCACAGCUGAUUCAAAUGAUCAAGUCAUCAUCAAGCUUCAAGUGAUGCCUUGCGACUUUCUUCAAAACGAUUGCCUACAGUUACUGUGUAGGGCACUGCACAGUUGGGUGGCAAGGGCCAUCUGGGACUGUCUCGUGGGGAUUUCAGGCAUCUGUGAAGGCUACCUGUGUCCUGCAUAACUUCAUGAUGAUGAACAGGAGGGGAUCUGCAGCUCUCCUACAUGUGCCAGAGGAGAGGUCUGCUGCUCUGCAGGAUGUUGCCAGGAUGGGGGCCAACAAUGCAGCACAGGAGGCAAUCUGUGUGCGGGAGACCUUCACCUCCUACUUCUUCGAAGAGGAUGCUGUUCCCUGGCAACACCAGAGUACACUAUGCAAAACCAAAGGCUCUUUUAAGAGCCAUCCACAUUGCAAUAAGAGUAUUCUUCCAUUUACUUAGCUAUAUGAACUGCAGUUAUUCAAUAAGUCUCUAAGUCUCCUUCACUCCAUCCCUCGCGCCCCUUCUCCCGUAAUCCUCUAGGUUAUAUCAGCUGUGUUGGUGAACCCCUCCUGUAUCUGAACUGGCUACAUAGAGGGCACAGCAUGAUCAGAGGUAUGUUUUGAUGUGAGAGAGGAUGACAACCCCCAGUCCCAUCAUCGCCACCUCACCCACCGUUAAGAUAAACUUCAUGCCAACUUGGGGCCCAAGGCUGGUUAGGAGACACUUAUGUAAUUAAGUUUAGUAGCACUGUAAUCCUUCCCUGCUCCUCUGUUCUUACCUCUUUCUCUUUUACACUCACACCUCUCUCCCCACAUUUCUUCCACUGUUUUUAUGUGUACCAGCUGUGCAUUGAAGUACAGAUUGUACUAAUAUUUUUAAAUAAUAUUACAAUUAUAACUUAAUUAUAACACUUGGAUAAUGAACUUCUUUCAAUAAAGUGUUCCACAUUC
Salmo salar (Atlantic salmon) is the source of this 1418-nucleotide non-coding RNA. The record is from RefSeq and is a predicted model, not a curated record. NCBI's taxonomy places the organism in Eukaryota, Metazoa, Chordata, Actinopteri, Salmoniformes, Salmonidae.